AUGCUAUACAUGCAGUCGAGCGGASUUGAURAGAAGCUUGCUUCYYUGAURSUUAGCGGCGGACGGGUGAGUAACACGUAGGCAACCUGCCCUCAAGUUUGGGACAACUACCGGAAACGGUAGCUAAUACCGAAUAAUUGUUUUCUUCGCCUGAAGGAAACUGGAAAGACGGAGCAAUCUGUCACUUGGGGAUGGGCCUGCGGCGCAUUAGCUAGUUGGUGAGGUAACGGCUCACCAAGGCGACGAUGCGUAGCCGACCUGAGAGGGUGAUCGGCCACACUGGGACUGAGACACGGCCCAGACUCCUACGGGAGGCAGCAGUAGGGAAUCUUCCGCAAUGGGCGAAAGCCUGACGGAGCAAUGCCGCGUGAGUGAUGAAGGUUUUCGGAUCGUAAAGCUCUGUUGCCAGGGAAGAACGCUUGGGAGAGUAACUGCUCUCAAGGUGACGGUACCUGAGAAGAAAGCCCCGGCUAACUACGUGCCAGCAGCCGCGGUAAUACGUAGGGGGCAAGCGUUGUCCGGAAUUAUUGGGCGUAAAGCGCGCGCAGGCGGUCAUUUAAGUCUGGUGUUUAAUCCCGGGGCUCAACCCCGGAUCGCACUGGAAACUGGGUGACUUGAGUGCAGAAGAGGAGAGUGAAAUUCCACGUGUAGCGGUGAAAUGCGUAGAUAUGUGGAGGAACACAGUGGCGAAGGCGACUCUCUGGGCUGUAACUGACGCUGAGSGCRAARGCKKGGGGASCAACAGGAUARAWACCUGGUAGUCMMSSCCGUAAACGAU
This 778-nucleotide ribosomal RNA is filed under the name Paenibacillus sp. RNAcentral's name for it is "partial 16S ribosomal RNA". It matches the Rfam family "Bacterial small subunit ribosomal RNA", at positions 44 to 810 of the family's 1533-position model. The record is from RNAcentral. Lineage: Bacteria; Bacillati; Bacillota; Bacilli; Caryophanales; Paenibacillaceae.